GAUGAACGCCGGCGGCGUGCCUAAUACAUGCAAGUCGAGCGAACAGACGAUGAUCUUGUUCCUCUGACGUUAGCGGCGGACGGGUGAGUAACACGUGGAUAACCUACCUAUCACACUGGGAUUACCUCGGGAAACCUGAGCUAAUACUGGAUAUUCUAUCGAACCGCACGGCUCCAUACCGCAACACGGUUCUGCUUGAACUUAUUGAUGGCUUCGCGCCGCAUUAGCUAGUUGGUAAGGUAACGGCUUACCUAGGCAACGAUGCGUCACCGACCUGAGAGGGUGAUCGGCCACACGGGAACUGAGACACGGUCCAGACUCCUACGGGAGGCAGCAGUAGGGAAUCUUCCGCAAUGGGCGAAAGCCUGACGGAGCAACGCCGCGUGAGUGAUGAAGGUCUUCGGAUCGUAAAGCUCUGUUAUUAGGGAAGAACAAAUGUGUAAGUAACUGUGCGCGUCUUGACGGUACCUAAUCAGAAAGCCACGGCUAACUACGUG
This 497-nucleotide ribosomal RNA is filed under the name uncultured bacterium. RNAcentral describes it as "partial 16S ribosomal RNA". It matches the Rfam family "Bacterial small subunit ribosomal RNA", at positions 28 to 507 of the family's 1533-position model. The record is from RNAcentral.